RNAcentral lists this ribosomal RNA (484 nucleotides) under uncultured bacterium. RNAcentral's name for it is "partial 16S ribosomal RNA". It matches the Rfam family "Bacterial small subunit ribosomal RNA", at positions 30 to 507 of the family's 1533-position model. The record is from RNAcentral.
AUUGAACGCUGGCGGCAGGCCUAACACAUGCAAGUCGAGCGGAUGAAGGGAGCUUGCUCCUGGAUUCAGCGGCGGACGGGUGAGUAAUGCCUAGGAAUCUGCCUGGUAGUGGGGGAUAACGUCCGGAAACGGGCGCUAAUACCGCAUACGUCCUGAGGGAGAAAGUGGGGGAUCUUCGGACCUCACGCUAUCAGAUGAGCCUAGGUCGGAUUAGCUAGUUGGUGGGGUAAAGGCCUACCAAGGCGACGAUCCGUAACUGGUCUGAGAGGAUGAUCAGUCACACUGGAACUGAGACACGGUCCAGACUCCUACGGGAGGCAGGAGUGGGGAAUAUUGGACAAUGGGCGAAAGCCUGAUCCAGCCAUGCCGCGUGUGUGAAGAAGGUCUUCGGAUUGUAAAGCACUUUAAGUUGGGAGGAAGGGCAGUAAGUUAAUACCUUGCUGUUUUGACGUUACCAACAGAAUAAGCACCGGCUAACUUCGUG